Molecule: long non-coding RNA, 1040 nt
Filed under: Vigna radiata
Lineage: Eukaryota; Viridiplantae; Streptophyta; Magnoliopsida; Fabales; Fabaceae
Description: long non-coding RNA (VRAD_LNC007598)
Source: RNAcentral
UUCAGGAAACAUUUGUCCUGCAGAGGCAAAUAGCAACAAACUUGCAGGGACUACACUACCCUGCAACAACUGAAACUAAAAGGCUAACAGCCACAAACUUGUAGGGACUUAACCACCCUAAUAUAGCAACAAACCUUAAGGGACUUAAAUGCCCUGAACAAACGACGACUAGUGCACUUCAUGAGGCACUCUUAAUCUUGAGCAAAGCAAAUACGACAGCUUAUCGAGGUGGCAACGACAAAUCAGGGGCAGAAUAGAGAAACCCAGCAGAAACGAAUUUAGUGAGAGAGGCGGCGGUAGGUGGUCGGCAAUAUGGAGGCCGGCGGCGGACAAUGACUGGUGGCGGGUAACGGUGGUGCACAACGGAGUAAUCAGCGAAGGCAGUAGGCUUUCUUGGAUUAUUCGAAAAAGAGACUUUCGGUCCCAAAGGGAAUGAGUUCGAAUCCCACUCUAAUGAGAAACACAGGUUAAUACUCAAACAAACUCUGAAUUUGAUAAUACUGGAAAGAAAAGGCCAGAACUUGACUAGGGCAACUGGAGCCCAUUAAAAACACAGGUUAAAGAAAAAAAUUUAGGGGACUGCCGGCGGCCAUGACGGCUGACCGCCGGCAGACAGCAAAAACGGAUCAGACAAGCUCUAAUACCAUGUUAGAAGUGAACUUUAAGCCUAACUCAACCCCACAAAACCGGCUUAUAGGGUGAGGUUUGCACCCACUUAUAUACACUUAAAUGGCCUCAUCUCUAGUCGAUGUGGGACUUCCAACACACCCCAAGGUAUAUACAUCUCGGGUGUGGGAUUAUACUUUUUAAUGGGUAGUCCGAUAGCGGCCCGAUAGCGGGUGGAUCAAUAUGCCCAACGACAACAGAAAUCGCUAGGAUGGGCUCCAGUCAUGGCUCUGAUACCAUGUUAAAUAAUGAGAAUCAUGCUUGAUAGGAGAAAGAGAGGCAAAAAAUAAUAUGUGUAUUAUCUUCCUUCUGCAUAAUGCAGAUACAAAUAUUUAUACAUCAAGAUUAUAACAGAAUUAGUUAUAAUUCUAUUU